This is a long non-coding RNA of Mastomys coucha (southern multimammate mouse), 626 nucleotides long. RefSeq lists it as uncharacterized. The transcript is spliced from 2 exons. The record is from RefSeq and is a predicted model, not a curated record. Lineage: Eukaryota; Metazoa; Chordata; Mammalia; Rodentia; Muridae.
UGAUUUCUUACGUCAGUGCCAUGUCUCCACCGUGCAGCGAGGCUGAACCUCCCUACUCCACGCAGGGCUGUUUAGAUCUCUCUGCCAUGCUGAAAUGGUCUUCGUGGACCCCAGACAACAAGAAAGCUCUCUUCUGGGUGUUCCUGUGAACCUUCUAGAACUCGCAACACCCCUCCCUUAAAGGUCUGAGGUGUGGUCCUCAGCUUGCCCUUCUUGUAGCUUGUGAUUUGCCUGUCUGCAAAUCGGAAGGUAAAGCCCUCAGGGCGGAUGAAGGAUGGAGGCUCAGAGGGCCCUUGUGAACGGAUAAGGUGGAGCCUGGCGCUGGGAGGAGAGUCUCCUCAGGGAGAAACAGCAGGCUACAUUGUUCCACAAUGAAGAUUCCUAGACAACAAGUGACUAAGCUGUAGAUUAUAUAUUUUGAUCUGAAAUGAUGGUUUCCUGCCCGCAAACCCGUGUUCUUUUGUCAGAACCAACUGCCUGGCUGGCUCCUCUUCUUCCUCGGGAUUACUAGAGCAGGGAGUGGAGGGAAGUCAUAUAAAGGAAGAAAACUUAAUACUUCAUUUUUAUUUUGUACGCUUUUGCCAACACAUUCUGUUGGGGGACAAAAAGAAUCUGGUUCACAAUUG